Numida meleagris (helmeted guineafowl) is the source of this 2912-nucleotide RNA transcript. It is a transcript of the gene named translation initiation factor IF-2-like, with no coding region annotated. The transcript is spliced from 4 exons. Lineage: Eukaryota; Metazoa; Chordata; Aves; Galliformes; Numididae. The record is from RefSeq and is a predicted model, not a curated record.
UUGCACAAGUUCAGGCUAUUUUGAGUAUGAGGCUUCUGUGAGAUGAGGAUUAAUUACCUACCUUGCGUUAAGACCAGUCGGAACAUUUUUGCUUUGAACGAUGACCUUGGUAAUAAUCAUCCCAAUGUCACAAAAUCCAGAAUCAGAUUUGUUUGGUUUUUUUUGUUUGCUCGUUUUGUGUGUGUGUGUUUUGUUUUUAUUGCAUCCCAAGCUGUCAGCUGACUUGCAAGAAUAACCAAUUUUCCUGCCUUAAAGUGUGUGUUGUGGGUGAUGAUACCAUUUGCACAAUACAUAGCUUUAGGGAUUGCACUAAUGCAGUUAAGCAGGAUGAUUUAUUUCUUGCACAUUUCUUGCAUGAACUAAUUUGCAGAUUAUUUCUCAUUGUGCUUCUCUAAAGGACAGUUAAAGCUAUAUGUAAGCUGAGCCAGAAUUCCUGUGCCUGGCGGUGCUGAUGGAGAAUUUUAUGGAAGGCUGAAGGGAAGCCAGAACUCCUAUUUUUAAUGCAAUGAAGCAUUGAGUGUUUUCUAAUCUUUGUUAUAUUUAACUGGUAUAGAUAACAUAUGCUUUCAUAUUCUGUAUUAUCAGUAUGAUUUAGUAUACAGUGUCAAUAAAAUUAUAUAGUUUGCUGUUUAUAUGUUAUAUUGAUAAUAAGUGCAGUGAGAGAAGGACCAAGAUUUUUGUGUUUGUUUGGUUAACAUUCUGAAAGGCUUCUCCCUUAUAUUUUGUACUGAGAGAAGUAUUCUGAAGUGCCGUGGCUGUGUUUGACAUUUAACAUGGAAAAGAUUGGUUGCACAGAGAAAAGUGUGAUAACAUUUAGAGAAGAUAUCAACACAUACAGAUGUCGUAGUCAUUUGCGUUUCUUCUCUUUUUAUGAAAUCGUGAAUUUUCAUUUAAUGGGCUUUUUCCCCCCCCGCCUCUUCUAAGAGAGGUGAAGUUUGGUUUGUAGAGAUGACCACUAUCUUUAGAUUGGCUGCAGCACAUGAUGUCCUCUUCGUCAUCAGACAGUACCGAGGGAAGCAUGGGGAAAAAGAGCAGCUGAAAACUAGGGACAUGCAGUUCUCAGUCAUUAACACUGCUUGAGAAACUAUUAGUAAUUGAGCAUGAAACAUGUUUGGCUUCAGUUCAGUUACAAAUGCCUGUCAACAAUGUGAAGCAAGCUGCCUCCCUCCACCUUGCUUGGCAAAUGCAGAGUUUUCUGAGAGCUGGCACUUCAAGUCCAGCACUGCUUCCAUGCACAUGGAGCCACUGCCAUGGCUGUGGUCACUACUGCUCUGACAUGCUGUUAUGGAGAGGAGAUGCUGACGACCAAAAAUGAAUUCUUCCUUCUUUUCUUUUGGCUGGUGAGCUGAUGAAUCAAUUAUUCCCACAGCUCUAAUUAUCAUUCAUAGAAUGUAUAUUUUUUUCAGAAAAUAAAGUUAUUGCCUCAGCUGUCAGUUCCCUUUGGGCUUAACCUUUCAAAGUGAAAUUGCAGGUGUUUGUUCUCUCAAAGCUUUCAAAUUGUUCACCAAAGUAUGAAACGGCGGGAAAGUAAUAAUGAAUAAGGGAGCCUUCUGGCUUUUAAUCAGUCUCCUGACAUAAAAAGACAUUGGUUCCUGUGUAAUUGCUGUACAUAAUUACAAAAAUUAGGUUUUACUGCUUUGUUGGGCUUCUCAGCUUUAGAACUUUUUUGAUGCAGUCACACUAAGGGACACAGGCUGAGCGGGCUGCUGCUGGAAUAACUCACUUUCAAAGGCAGAGAGUGAAUUUUGGUGCCUGUGCUGCAGGACUAGACCAACCUUGGUGUGAGGCACAACCCACGUGGGGUUUUGCUUGCGCUAGGGCUGCCAGCAGGGCACAGGGUGUGCUGAGGAGGUGGCAGGGAGGGAGAGCCCUACAGUGGUCUGGGGCUGCACAGAGACCCCUGUGCAAGAAAGUCUGUGUGGGGCAGGAGGGGCGGCUGAGGCAUCAGCAGCACCCAAGUGCAACACGGCUGUUGUGGUUAAUAGCUCUGUUCUUCCUGUUUAAACAAUUCUAGAACACUGUCAGAAAUAAUUAGUAUUCAAAGAUAUUUGUGAUGUAACUUGCUACCUGGCAGUCAUUAAUUUCAAUGACACUGGGAUGCUGUAACCUUCUCAAGCCUUUUCUUAUAGUAAUCAGAGUGAUCAGGAGAGCCAAUAUUUCACUCCAAAAAUUCUAGUUGUGAUGGAAGCCAGUGGUGUGGAGUACGGAGGCUACAGUUUUUGUGACCAAAGCACGCUCUCUUGUAAUGUGAGCUGGUAGGCUGCAAAGCUGGGUGUUUUCUAUUCGGACUUUCUUCAAUCUUUCUGUCAUGUGGCAGGUAGGCCUUAUAUGCACAUAGGAUCUUUUAUUUGCUGUUAGUACCAUGUAUACCAGUCAAUAUUCAGGAUGUGCUUAUGUUGUGUGCUGUCUAACAUUGUAUCUAACAUCACUGGAGCAUGCUUGGUCAUGUGUCAGGAGAGAGAAGGGUCACCAUGCUUUCCUGUUCUUCUUAGCUUUGAAAUGGGUGCUGAAGUGCUUGGGACUCCAGUGGACCACAGUAUGGCCUGAGGGACUGUGAGGAGUGUUUGAGGGUGCAGGAAUUGCUGGAAUAGUGAUGGACUGUGUAGGAGCAGAUGAAGUUCAAUCUGACAGAGCAGUUUAAACAUAUUGUUGUCACAGAACUGUCCUUGGAACAAGCUGUCCCCAGACGAACUACAGCACUGAAAGAAAACUGCUUAAUCCAACCCAAAAAUAGGCCCCAAGCAUAGACUAAUGUACAUAAAAUGUGCAUGAUCAGAGAAGAUCAGAGUACAGAAUGAACUGAAGAGAGUAGUCAUGACAAGGUAGAUGUACAUUUUAUCUUCAAGGAUAAUAUUAUCUUUGUCAAGAGAUAAGAGGAAUCUUUUUUCUUCUUUGCCUUAUUUUUUUUUUAA